This 709-nucleotide ribosomal RNA is filed under the name uncultured bacterium. RNAcentral's name for it is "bacterial SSU rRNA". It matches the Rfam family "Bacterial small subunit ribosomal RNA", at positions 39 to 730 of the family's 1533-position model. The record is from RNAcentral.
GAUGCGCGUCCUAUACAUGCAAGUCGAACGCACAGCGAAAGGUGCUUGCACCUUUCAGGUGAGUGGCGAACGGGUGAGUAACACGUGGAUAACCUACCUCAAGGUUGGGGAUAACAUUUGGAAACAGAUGCUAAUACCGAAUAAAACUUCGUAUCGCAUGAUACAAGGUUAAAAGGCGCUACGGCGUCACCUAGAGAUGGAUCCGCGGUGCAUUAGUUAGUUGGUGGGGUAAAGGCCUACCAAGACAAUGAUGCAUAGCCGAGUUGAGAGACUGAUCGGCCACAUUGGGACUGAGACACGGCCCAAACUCCUACGGGAGGCUGCAGUAGGGAAUCUUCCACAAUGGGCGAAAGCCUGAUGGAGCAACGCCGCGUGCGUGAUGAAGGCUUUCGGGUCGUAAAGCACUGUUGUAUGGGAAGAACAGCUAGAGUAGGGAAUGACUUUAGUUUGACGGUACCAUACCAGAAAGGGACGGCUAAAUACGUGCCAGCAGCCGCGGUAAUACGUAUGUCCCGAGCGUUAUCCGGAUUUAUUGGGCGUAAAGCGAGCGCAGACGGUUGAUUAAGUCUGAUGUGAAAGCCCGGAGCUCAACUCCGGAAAGGCAUUGGAAACUGGUCAACUUGAGUGCAGUAGAGGUAAGUGGAACUCCAUGUGUAGCGGUGGAAUGCGUAGAUAUAUGGAAGAACACCAGCGGCGAAGGCGGCUUACU